CCUUCGGGGUACACGAGCGGCGAACGGGUGAGUAACACGUGGGUGAUCUGCCUCGCACUCUGGGAUAAGCCUGGGAAACUGGGUCUAAUACCGGAUAUGACCUUACAUCGCAUGGUGUUUGGUGGAAAGAUUUAUCGCGUGCGAGAUGGGCCCCGCGGCCUAUCAGCUUGUU
Molecule: ribosomal RNA, 172 nt
Filed under: Nocardia asteroides
Lineage: Bacteria; Bacillati; Actinomycetota; Actinomycetes; Mycobacteriales; Nocardiaceae
Description: partial 16S ribosomal RNA
Rfam family: Bacterial small subunit ribosomal RNA
Source: RNAcentral